CUACGGGAGGCAGCAGUGGGGAAUUUUGGACAAUGGGCGCAAGCCUGAUCCAGCAAUGCCGCGUGCAGGAUGAAGGCCUUCGGGUUGUAAACUGCUUUUGUACGGAACGAAACGGCUCUCUCUAAUACAGGGGGCUAAUGACGGUACCGUAAGAAUAAGCACCGGCUAACUACGUGCCAGCAGCCGCGGUAAUACGUAGGGUGCGAGCGUUAAUCGGAAUUACUGGGCGUAAAGCGUGCGCAGGCGGUUAUGUAAGACAGAUGUGAAAUCCCCGGGCUCAACCUGGGACCUGCAUUUGUGACUGCAUAGCUAGAGUACGGUAGAGGGGGAUGGAAUUCCGCGUGUAGCAGUGAAAUGCGUAGAUAUGCGGAGGAACACCGAUGGCGAAGGCAAUCCCCUGGACCUGUACUGACGCUCAUGCACGAAAGCGUGGGGAGCAAACAGGAUUAGAAACCCCUGUAGUCC
This 465-nucleotide ribosomal RNA is filed under the name uncultured bacterium. RNAcentral describes it as "bacterial SSU rRNA". It matches the Rfam family "Bacterial small subunit ribosomal RNA", at positions 339 to 796 of the family's 1533-position model. The record is from RNAcentral.